Molecule: long non-coding RNA, 769 nt
Organism: Manis javanica (Malayan pangolin)
Lineage: Eukaryota; Metazoa; Chordata; Mammalia; Pholidota; Manidae
Source: RefSeq, a predicted model, not a curated record
GCUGUGAACACCUAUUUGAUAUGUAAGUGGACAAAGGCUAAGUGGGAAAUGCUGCGAAUUCUGCAAUUGGAAAACAACAAAAAGUGCAACAUUUGGGACUUACUAUUUAACUUAUUUGGCUUAAGGAAUAAACGUGAUGUAUUGGCUCAUAGAACUGAGGAGCUGUCAGUUGUCUCACAGCUGCCUUUCUAAGAGCUUUCAGCUCUGCUUGCCUCCAGGGUUUGGCUUCAUCCUCAGGCUGGCAGCAACAUGGCUGAGGAGUUCCGGUUCUCACCACCCUGUGUGAAAACUUCCAGGGCAAAGAAGCCAGAAGAAAGCGAAGCAAAAAAUCAAGGAGCUUUCACUUCUUCCAGGUGUGCUCUCUUCAGAGAAGUUGCUAGCAAACCUCCCCUUACAUCCCAUUGGCCCAACUUGCCUGCUAUUCCUGGACCACUCCCUGUGGCAGGAAAAUUCCAUUCUGCGGCUGGCUUACCAGCCACUGGCUGCAGAAGGGAACCCACCCAAUCUCUCUGAUCCGGAGAUGCCCUCCCUUGCCCUUGUAAUCACCUGUUGAUAUGGAGAUGGACUACUUCUCUCCACCCCUUGGAAACACCUACUGAUAUGGAGAUACACUAAGGGCAGCAAAGCCCUGCAGAGCAGGCUGGAAUCUGUGUCUGGAUCCCCCCUUCUGUUCUGUUCUUUAAAAACCCUAAACCCCACUGAAGGGCCCCCACCAGUAAGAUGGCGAACUUCCAGCUUCUCUUCCGGGUCCUCGGUUCCUGACGGCGCC